Molecule: transfer RNA, 72 nt
Filed under: Bos taurus (domestic cattle)
Lineage: Eukaryota; Metazoa; Chordata; Mammalia; Artiodactyla; Bovidae
Also listed under: 3 other names
Rfam family: tRNA
About the family: Transfer RNA (tRNA) molecules are approximately 80 nucleotides in length. Their secondary structure includes four short double-helical elements and three loops (D, anti-codon, and T loops).
Source: Rfam by way of RNAcentral
UCCUUACUGGCUCACAUAGUAAAGGAUCUGCCUGCAGUGCAGGAGACCUGGGUUCAAUCCCUGGGUCAGGAA